This 339-nucleotide ribosomal RNA is filed under the name Alosa alabamae (Alabama shad). RNAcentral's name for it is "partial 16S ribosomal RNA". It matches the Rfam family "Bacterial large subunit ribosomal RNA", at positions 668 to 1088 of the family's 2925-position model. The record is from RNAcentral. Lineage: Eukaryota; Metazoa; Chordata; Actinopteri; Clupeiformes; Clupeidae.
CAGUAACCUCAAGCAAAGAGACCUCUAGUUUGAACCCCCGAAACCGGACGAGCUACUCCGGGGCAGCCUAUUAUAGGGCCAACCCGUCUCUGUGGCAAAAGAGUGGGAAGACCCCCGAGUAGAGGUGAAAGACCUACCGAGUCAGGUUAUAGCUGGUUGCCCAAGAAAUGAAUAGAAGUUCAGCCCCACCGCGCCCUUACCCACAACAGUUUUACUUAAACAAGGCAUAAAGGACACCCGCGGGAGUUAGUCAAGGGAGGUACAGCUCCCUUAACAAAGGACACAACCUUAAACGGGAGGCUAAGGAAUAUAUUAAACUAAGGCCCUGGGUUUCAGUGG